RNAcentral lists this ribosomal RNA (253 nucleotides) under uncultured bacterium. RNAcentral describes it as "partial 16S ribosomal RNA". It matches the Rfam family "Bacterial small subunit ribosomal RNA", at positions 524 to 776 of the family's 1533-position model. The record is from RNAcentral.
UACGAAGGGGGCUAGCGUUGCUCGGAAUCACUGGGCGUAAAGGGCGCGUAGGCGGCCCGCUAAGUCGAACGUGAAAUCCCCGAGCUCAACUCGGGAACUGCGUCCGAUACUGACAGGCUUGAAUCCGGGAGAGGGAUGCGGAAUUCCAGGUGUAGCGGUGAAAUGCGUAGAUAUCUGGAGGAACACCGGUGGCGAAGGCGGCAUCCUGGACCGGCAUUGACGCUGAGGCGCGAAAGCUAGGGUAGCAAACGGG